Molecule: unclassified non-coding RNA, 247 nt
Filed under: uncultured fungus
Lineage: Eukaryota; Fungi
Description: sequence contains ITS1, 5.8S rRNA gene
Rfam family: 5.8S ribosomal RNA (bases 199-247)
Source: RNAcentral
UUUCCGUAGGUGAACCUGCGGAAGGAUCAUUAAUGAAUAUUAGGGUGUUCUCUUCAUCAGAGAAGCCCGACCCUUCAUUUCCAACUCUGUGCACUUUAAAAUUUGGGAUUACGAUUUUUGACGAAAGUUGAAAUAGUAUCCCAAUUCAUUUUACAAACUCUAAACAGUUAAAGAAUGUAAACAAACUAAAACAAAAAAAACUUUCAACAACGGAUCUCUUGGCUCUCGCAUCGAUGAAGAACGCAGC